Molecule: long non-coding RNA, 2310 nt
Organism: Galeopterus variegatus (Sunda flying lemur)
Lineage: Eukaryota; Metazoa; Chordata; Mammalia; Dermoptera; Cynocephalidae
Exons: 2
Source: RefSeq, a predicted model, not a curated record
GUUGGAAACACCAGACCCACACGCAGCAGCUGGGUCGAGUGGAAGUCGGCUCUGCAGUGUGUUACCUGGAGUGUGUCGUGCUUGGGGGCCCCCCACAUCAGCAGAUCAGAUGGUGCCCCCCCACCUACCCACGUGGAGGGCUGACCUUCCGAAUCUCAUCCACUCGGGCUCGUAUACGAAUCUCCUCUGGAAACACUCUCAGAGACACACCCCAAAAUAACGCUUUACCAGGUUUCUAGGUAUUCUUUAAUCCAGUCAAAUUGCCACCUAAAAUUAACUAUCAACACGUGAAUAUAUGAUUGUUAAAAUAAAACAAAACUCCAAAUUCAGAAGUAUAUAUAUAAAAAAGAAAGUCCCUGUUGACACCCCCAGAUCACGCCCUUCACCCGAGUGACCAAGUUCAGAAGCUUCUGGCACGUCUUUCUAGAACUUCCUCUCGGUUCUCCUGUGGGCAUGUCCGGGAGCCACGUUUAGUUCAGGUGCAUUGCCCACAUCGUUGUGCGGUGUUGUUUUUUUCAUACUGAGCCCUAAGUAAGUCCUGGAGGUCUCUCCACGUCGAUACCUACAGCCGUCCUGCGUUCUCUGUAUUCCAGAAAGGAGGUGCACCCCUCUGUUUAGCCAUGCCUCUGUUCAAGAGUUUUGUUAUUUCAGAGUGACAUUGAAACUGCACCUGUGGUUUUAUGUGAGCACGUGUGAGCAUAUCUAUAGAACAGAUUACUAGAAACACAUCUGCUGAGUUACAGAAUGUACAUUUUAGUAUUUUAAAUAGAUAGGGCCAAAUUGUCCUCCAAAAGACAAAGUCGAGUGAAACACCUGCUUACUUAUGCUCUUGUCAAAAGAUGAUCGUACGUCUAAAUUUUGCCAGCCUGAGGGGUGAGAGGUGCUAUCUCCUCAGUGUUUUGAUCUGUCCUCCCUGCUGACUGGGAAGUUGAACAUCUUUUCCUAAAUUUACCAGCUACUUUUAUGUUUUUGUGUGGUCUGUCUAUUCAAGUCCAUUGCUAUUUUUUUACAUUCAUUGUUGGUGUUUUAUGUAUUGAUUUUUGAGGAGCUCUUUAUGGAUUAAGAAUCAGGCUCCUUGCCUGGGAUCUAUGUUGCAAAGAUCCUUCCUUCCUCUGUUCACUUACGAAGUGCCAGUACGUAUGCGUUCCGACACACACGGGUCUGUUUCUAGACUCUUAUUCUCUGGUCUUUUGCAUAUAUCUGGGCCAAGGCCGCACUGUUUUAAGUGACAUAGAUUUAUAGAACAUAUAUUUCUUAUUUUUCAAAAUUUCUUAGCUGUCCUUUAAAAUGUUCUUCAUACAAUUGUUGGAUUCAUCCUGUCAAAUCCCAUAAGUAGUAGAUAAGAAUGGCCCUGAGUUUAUAGAUUAGUUCUGGGGAGAACUAAUUUUUUUCUCAAAAUUGACUUUUGACAUCCCAGAAUUCUAUGUAUUCCAAAUAAAUCCCUUUAUUUUAGUUUUUAAAUUCCUUUUCGGUAAAGUUUUACAAUUUUCAUCUUCUAGGCCUUUUUACAUUUUUUGGUCUCUUUUCAUGUUUUAAAAAUUUGGGCUAUUAUGAGCAGUACUGCUGGCAACAUAUUUUCAUUGGUCAUUACUGUGUGUAGAUUUAUUGAAUGUUAAUCUUUUACUAAACAGCAUCACUAAAUUAUCUACGUAGUUCUAAUAGUUUCUCAGUUGAUCACUGCUGUGGAGUGACUGUCCCCCCAUCGCACUGAAGCUUGACCCCGAUUGUAACAGUGCUAAGCAGGUGGGAAAUCCAACUGUGAUAUUUGAAAGAGGUGAUUCUGUAGAUUGUGAAGACACAGUUUUCUUCUUAGCAUGCAUUUCUCUGAGUUCCCUCUUUCCCGUGGUAAUUUGAUAGUUUGAACUUUGGUUACAGGACAAGAUGACAUUAUUUAUAAAAAUGUAAAGUUGCUCUCUAGUCGGCCUGGAGCUGCAGACUUGCCAUGAAACACCUACUGUCCAGACCCUGAGAAACCAAGGAAGACAUCAGUAAAGCUGUGCUGACUCCACCCCAGAUCAGGACCCUGAGACAACACUGAGGACGGAAACAGAAACCAGGGGUAGCCUUGGCAAGACCUUGCACCUGGCUCCUCGCACGGAGCCCCCACAGCUCACGUCCCUCUUCCUGCUUCUCGUUCCCCACAUUCUCUUCCCUCAGUCUCCUCUUUAAAACCCCUCAGAAGAUCUGAGUCUUUGAGAUGGUUGUGGUCUGGCCAUCCUCUUGCAGGCCCACUGGAGAGGUGGGUUAGCCUCACAUCUCUCCUCAGGUCACUGAUAACCCUGAAUAAAAGCUGACGUCCUACUCCACUAA